Long non-coding RNA from Dreissena polymorpha, 3990 nucleotides. RefSeq lists it as uncharacterized. The transcript has 2 exons. The record is from RefSeq and is a predicted model, not a curated record. Lineage: Eukaryota; Metazoa; Mollusca; Bivalvia; Myida; Dreissenidae.
UUGACAAACAUUUAGGAAACGUUGUGUUGUGUUAAAACGCAUAGAAAUCAGAAUUGGACUUUGUCUACGUUUGUUCAUGUGUUAUGGUACACCGUAAAAACCAUCGUGAGGAGUCUGUCUAUGUUUUUUGUAUUUGUUGAUGGGGGUAUAGAGCUUUUGGUUUAUUUAACUGUUUAUCAAUUUGCCACAAGCCAAAAAUGAGAAGUGCUUUGAGAAAGCUUCUUUCAUGCAGUACUAGAUCACGGACUCUAGAUGACAAUAUACGCUCCGUGACUUAAUUAUAUACAUCUCUGAGUGACAACACUUAUGCAGCCUCAGUGUCACUUUGUUCGUAACUGUAACAUUUACCUCCCUUUUUACAACACUUUCGAUUUCAACUCAAAAUGUGCGGUGUUCUCCAUUGCUACUAGAAAAAACGUUCGAUCAGUAAGAACUGUAAAUGGAGCCGCCACUAAUACCACAACAGGAUUUUGAAAGUCGAACGUAUCGGAUUCGAAAGGCAGCGUCGGUUAUAGUUUUCACUUUAGAUAAAGCAAUGAUAGAUGGAACGAAACAAUACGUGAAACAAAAGGAUAAUGUUGACAGCAAAGGGUCUAAAUUUUGUAAUCGAAAGGUGGACGUAGAUCUGAAAUUGUUGGACGAAUUCUUCAGAGAUAAUUUUCACAUUGUACCGGAGAUAGAGUUGAAUUGUAAUGCGACUUUUAAGGAGAUCGAAGAUUGCGUCAAAAAUAUCGACGGCGCUAAAAACGACGCCUUUUUCUUUAUAUUUCUAUCAUUCCUUAACAAAGCAACUAAAAAGGGGCAGCCAUAUAGAGAUUGCUCUCAUAGCCUUCAGGUGAAAUGCCAUAUAGGCGAUUCAAAAUCCCACGAUGUACAUGAAUAUAUAAUGCCUUGCCAAGUCAUUGAUAUGGUGAAGAUAAAUGCUUCGCUUGCCUUGAAGCCGAAAAUAUUCAUUUUUCAAGCAGAUGAUGCAAGUCUACUACCAACAAAGAUGGUAUCAAAAGGUCCAACUGCAUAUGUCGAUUUCAAACGCAUGAGGAUACCUACGGACGCUGACCAGCUUAUGAUUAUAUCAACUCUGCCUCAAGAUCUUGCUAAUCUCCAACGAAUUAAAGAAGAUUUACCUACAUCGUCAGAGGCAGGCGUUGUUAUGCAGCCAUCCAGUGAGACAAAACAAAGUCCAAAAGAUAAACCUCAAUAAAGAUCGAAGAAUCCGUCUCUGCUUAUCAGCGCAAUUGCAAACAUCCUUAAGUACAACAAAGAUUCGGAUGUUUUUGCUUGCACUCCGCGUAUCAAUGGCGAGGUUAAGAGGCUGAUUGAAGAUCUGCACAUUGACAUGAAAGAUGUACCUGGUGGGGAACUUCCCGUUCCUCUGGUUUAUUCUACAUUAACGAAACGUCUGUGUUUCUACAAUGAAAGGGACUGUGAAUACGGACUGUAGAGCCCAAUGUCACACGCAGGACGAUACCAACUGACGCGGACCAGCUUGUGAUUAUAUCAACUCUCUAUGUAUACUAUUAGCUAAUCUACAAAGUCUUAUACCUAAACAAUUAUGGUUGAGACAAUAGUAAAAACAUAGCAAACAUUAAUUGCAUCGAUUCUCUUUCUUCAGGAAUCAACUUUAAUAAUUGUAUUCAAUAUAUCACCUAGCACUUCAUCUAAAGUAUGUUUAUUAAUGGAAACUCCGUUUGCGCUGUUGACACCACCCAGUACACAAACGAAUAUAACAAAAUGAAAAUAUUUCGAGGUUCUUCAUAUAAGACACGUGGGCAAUUGAGAGGAUUACUAUGGAAACGGGUACAUAAAUGUUGACAGAACAGUAUCUUAAUCUACAAAAUAGACUACUCAAAAGUAACUUGUUUUUUGGCUGUGGAUAUCGCAGUUUUACUCGUAGUCGCUUCGAAAUGCUAUUUUCCACAGAUGACAUUUUCAAGUGCUUCUCACUUUGGAAUACAAACAAAUUAUUUAAAUAUCUACUGGACAUCGUAUUCGAAUUGAUCCACGAUUCGAUGAAGUAUUAUAAAACGAGCAAUAUAACUUUGCAAUAAACAUAACGAAAUAGGAACACUCUUUUUUUACUUAAAGUGAAAAGCGUGUUUAUGUUAAUCGAACAUGCGCUAAAUAUGUAAUAAUUAUUGGUUGCUCAAUAUCAUAUAUUUCAAACCAUUGCUAGACACACAUAUUUAUCUUUCGAGAGCCCAUAUUAUCACCUGACUACACAUUUAAUCAUCGCACAUACCCAAAUAAGGGUCCAUUAAAGUUCCCGAAUGCAUCAUACUGUUGAUAGGCCAACAGUUUUUAAAUGUGCAUUUUCGUCUUCCCUUACACGUGCCAUUAUUUGGAAAACCUGGCACUAAAUCGCAUAUUGUAGAUGUCUUUUGUCAUGUUUACACGAAAGCACGUAGCUUCGCCGAUUAAUCGAUUCGUUGAACUAUUUUUCUUUUGUUGCCUAUUGUUAUUAAUGUUAUCAUAUACAUACAAGUUACUAACACCAGCAAACAUGAUUAAGUUAUGUUGUUUAUAAGUUAUAUGCGUGUUAUAUGGUUUUUUUUCCCUUAAGUUAUGUAUUUGUGUGUACGACUUCUAACUUUAUCUUUAUAUUAUGCCUUCUUUUUUCUAUUUCGUUCCCAAGACAUUCUCGAUGGAAUGACUUCCUAACUCGUGGAAACGAUUUGGUUAUGUAGUGGGAACGACUUACUAAAUCGAUGUAACGUGCUAGAAAAAAUAGGAGUGCAAAACGAACUACAAAAUGAGUGCAAUAAUAAAAAAGAGCAGUGCAAUAAACAAAGAUGGGAUGCAUUUACCAAAAGAGAAGAGAAUUCACGCUAACUGGAGGGAGCGAGUUAGUAAGCCAAUUACAUUGUGCGUACUUUGUCCACAUUUUACACACGAAAGUUGAAACAAUGUUCUAAUUAUAUCUGCAAUUUGCGGCUUUUUUUAAUGAACGAUAUUUAUUUAGGCGUGAUCUUGUGCUGUGAUGGGAAGCCUGAGUGCCCGGAGGAAACCGAUUCUGUCCGGUAUGGUGACCACCAUUCUGUUCUGUUCUUAUGUGCUGACCGGUUUCAAAUCAUACCAUGUCAGCUUUACAAAUGCGUACAGAAUAUUUGCAAAUGUUACGCACAAGUUGAUUGGCUGACUAACUCGUUCGUUCGAGAAAGCUAAACUUCUCUUUUCUUUUCGUAUGUAAAGCCAAAACACACCAAUAUUAAACCCAGCAAACAUGAGAUGUCUUUUGGACGUCUUUAUUUUGUUGUUUUACACACGGACUCUAGAUGAGAUAGCCACUUAAAUCCUGGAAUUAAGUUAAACUGUUUGAAUUUAACAAUAUUUUGAUAAUUUAAUGCAAAUAUGUUUCGUUAGUAAAAUAAUUUUUUUUACAUUUAUUUAUUGCAUGCUAAAUUUUCAAUGUUGCACACAAAAUAAUCAGAUUCUUUAAACUUUUUUAUGUAUGUAUGUAUGCUGUUCUGUUGCACACAAAUAAUCAGAUUUUUAAACUUGUUUAUGUAUUGUUCUGUUAGGAACGCUAAAAUGUAUAAGUUAUACAUCUUAACAAUUUAUUACCAUCAUCACUAAAAUAAUAAACGAAAAACUGCAAGAUAUGUAGAUCACAACCCACGCUAUAAGCAAUAGACAUAAGCAAGUUAAUUGUUUUUCGAGUGCAUUUACGAAACCUGCUAACUUCAAGUGUAGUUUAAAUUGAAGUGAAUCUUUUUUCGCUUAUCGAGUUUUGUCUCACAUCUCAGUGAGAAUACAGUGCUUUUAAUUGUACACUUCGCUUUUAUUAUUUAAAAAAGGUUGCCUACAAAUAUUUGCAUUAUAUCUCUUAACGUUAUAUUUGUACGUGUCGUGUGUUAGCUUGCAGCUCAUGCCAACCGUAAUGAGUUACGGAAAUAAAUGUUUUUAAGUUGUAUACAUGACAUUUUACAAAAUAACUAUUUUCCAAUUUCAUGUAAUUUCGGUCUACUAGUAUUAAUAAAACAUGCAACCACA